RNAcentral lists this ribosomal RNA (1467 nucleotides) under Triticum aestivum (bread wheat). RNAcentral describes it as "partial small subunit ribosomal RNA". The record is from RNAcentral. Lineage: Eukaryota; Viridiplantae; Streptophyta; Magnoliopsida; Poales; Poaceae.
AUGGCCCUCUACCGCGGCCUCGAGCUGCUCAAGAAGUUCAGUUCUCUGAAUAUAAAGGCCUUCACUAAGAUUCUCAAGAAAUUCGUCAAGGUGUCAGAGCAGCAGCGAGCAACGGACCUUUUCUCGCAGAAGGUGAAGACAUCGUCGUUCAGCACAUCCGACAAGGUGCUUCAGCUGUCGGACGAAGUGGAGUCACUCUUCCUGAAGCACUUCGCAGGCAACGACAGGAUGGUGGCCAUGAAGUACCUCAACCCGCAGCAGCGCAAGAGCACGCACAUGAUCACCUUCCUCGUAGGGUUGUUCACGGGCACAUUUGUGAGUCUGUUCAUCAUAUACACCAUCCUGGCACAUGCUUCUGGCAUUUUCGCCUCUGCCGGAGACACGGCCUACAAGGAACUAGUGUACCAUGUCUUCAGCAUGUUCGGGCUCAUCAGCCUGCACUGCUUCCUCUACGGAUGCAACCUGUUCAUGUGGAAGAGCACACGGAUCAACCAGAACUUCAUAUUCGACUUCAUGCCCAACACUGCCCUCACACACCGGGACGCCUUCCUCAUGUCCGCCUUCAUCAUGUGCACCGUUGUCACCGCGCUGGUCAUCAACCUCUUCCUCAUAGAUGCCGGUGUGUCCUACCCCAAUGCCGUGCCAGGGGCACUCAUAGUGUUGUCAGCUGGAGUUUUAUUCUGUCCGUUCAACGUGUUCUACCGGUCGACGCGCUACUGCUUCAUGCGCAUCAUGCGCAACAUCAUAUUCUCGCCAUUCUACAAGGUUCUGAUGGCCGAUUUCUUCAUGGCUGAUCAGUUAACUAGUCAGGUCCCAUUGUUAAGGCACAUGGAAUUUGCAGCGUGCUACUUCAUGGCAGGAAGCUUUAGGGCUAACCCAUAUGAGACUUGUACUAACAGCCAGCAGUACAAACAUCUGGCCUACGUGAUCUCUUUUCUCCCUUACUAUUGGAGAGCUAUGCAGUGUUUAAGAAGUUACCUGGAGGAACAUGACGUAGAUCAGCUCGCCCACGCCGGAAAGUACAUGUCGGCGAUGGUCGCGGCUGCUGUCAGGUUCAAAUACAAAGCAACACCGACGCCAUUCUGGGUGUGGAUGGUCCUCAUCUCGUCCACAGGCACCACCGCCUACCAGCUCUACUGGGACUUUGUCAAGGAUUGGGGCUUUUUCACUCCCAAAUCUAAAAACCUAUGGCUCCGGGAUGAUCUCAUCCUGAAGAACAAGUUCACCUACUACGUCUCCAUGAUGCUAAAUCUAGUGCUUCGGCUAUCAUGGACUAAAAGUGUGAUGAAGAUUCCUAUUAAUAAGAAUGAGACUCGCCUACUGGAUUUCUUCCGUGCCUCCUUGGAAAUAAUCCGACGAGGACAGUGGAAUUUCUACAGGAUGGAGAACGAACACUUGAACAAUGUUGGCAAGUUCAGAGCAGUGAAGACUGUCCCAUUGCCAUUUCAAGAACUCGAAAUGUAUUGA